UUAAUGGAUGGCGCGCCUCCUCUCACCUCUUUUCCUUUGUCUUCCGCUGCAUCUCCAUGGUGGAAAAUCACCAUUAAAGGACCCCAUUGAAGCUCAAAGAUCCAACCUCCAUAGAAGUCCCACAAGCAAGUUUCCAUCAUGUGUUAUUCUGAAAGAGAAGAUAGGGAGGGCAGUUUGGUUUGGUGCAAAUGGAUUCCUUAGAAGACAGCGGCUAUUGGGAUUUUCUCGAUUACUCUUUCAUCGAUCAAGCGCCCCCUGAUUUCCUUUGGUCCAAUAACAAUAAUAGAUAUUUUUUUAUACACACAAACUUGAAGAUUGAACUCUUGAUCAUAGAAGCUAUGUGGACUGAUGGAUGUCCAAAAAUUGACAGCAGGUGCUUCUGUGCAUGCAGCAGAGCAUGAACGCCUUCCUCUUCAAGUUAUAGUGCAUGUUCUCUUCUUUGAUUAUGUCAGGUCUUCUAUCAGCUUUCGAACACCCGGUAACAAUAGUGCAUGCGACCCUUUAUGCUCUCCAAUGAACCGAGAUGAGGGAUAUGAGACAACAACGGGAGAUAGCUGCCAAGCCACCCUCAAGAAUCAUAUCAGUCAUUUGAGGAUCAAGGAUGAAGAGUUACAUAAAAAUGGGAAGUUGAGCAAGAAGAAUAGCAAAAACAACAAAACUGACAUUCAAUUGUUGCCAUUGCGGUCAAGGAGAAUCUUUGACAAGUUAUGGAGUGUGUGAAAAGCGCAUGGAGAGAAUAGGAGUUCAGAGGCUUCUGGGAGUUCCAGUAGCCCAACUUCUUUAGGCCAGGGAGAUACCAAAUCAUAUGGCCUAUCUUUGAGACACCAGAUGCAUUCUAUCUCUUAGGAAAUUAGAAAAUUAUUUGCAACAAGUGAGAUUGAUUCAAAUUGCUAUCUAAGUAUAAAGUGGUAGGAUGUUAGCAUUAGUGGAGCUUUAGCAUGUUUGAAAAGUUGUAUGAUUCUUUUUCUUUUA
Molecule: long non-coding RNA, 972 nt
Organism: Glycine soja
Lineage: Eukaryota; Viridiplantae; Streptophyta; Magnoliopsida; Fabales; Fabaceae
Exons: 2
Source: RefSeq, a predicted model, not a curated record